GGGAGGGGGAAGAUGGAUUAGUUGUCUCGUUUAUCUUGUGUUUUUGCAUGUUUUGGUUUUAUUUUGUUUUUGUUAUGUUUUGAAUAAUUGAAAGACUUUUUGAUGUUUUGAUUUUUGUUGGGAUAAUUGUAACAAAUUUUGUGAGGAUGAUUUGUUUGUUAUUGGGCUUAUGAUAUGAUUGUGUUUUUGAAAAGAAAUUGUUAUGUGUCACUUGUUGAUUUUGCAUGAAGGGUUUGAACUUGUGACGAUGAGCUAAAUGUUAUACCUCCAAGAACUUGAAAAUGAAAAUGAGCUUGUGAGAAUUGAGCCUUUGAUUGUCAUACAUUUACAAUCUCAUUUUGUUCUUGAGUGUAAAUCAUUUGAGCAUGUGUGUUGAUCUCUAGAACUUGCCAUGAGUCCUCUCUUGAAAAUAAAAGUAGAUGUGUUAUUAAUAUUGAAGUGAUUUAAGGCCAUCUUUGUUAGCCACUUAACUCAAAUUGUGUCCAAAUUCUCAUAUGAUCCUAGUUUACCCCUUUUGUGCCUUGUAGCCUUUCAUUGAAUAACCAAUGAUAAAGGGGUAGAACCUAGAGUGUUGGUGGUUGCUUUGAUGAAGAAAAGUUUGGGAAAUGAUUGAAAAUGCUUAUCAAGCUUUGAUUAAGUGAAAAUCACUAGUCCCCUAUGAGCUCAAAAAGAAAAAGAAAAAAAAAUGGAAAUGAAUGUGAAUAAAAAGAGCAUAAAGGGGAGUGAUUUACCUUUUGAAUCAUGGCCAUGAUAGAUAUCACUAGGGAUGAAAAGAUGAAAUGUAGAGAUUUUGAUUUUUGUUUGAUAAGAGAAAUAGUGAAGUCGAUUUGUUCAUUAUGAUUAUUUGAUCGUGGGAUGAGUCACUUUGCCUAAAAACUACUCACCUUACCAAAGAGCCCUCAUUACAACCCAAG
This 914-nucleotide long non-coding RNA is filed under the name Salvia miltiorrhiza (redroot sage). RNAcentral describes it as "long non-coding RNA (SMIL_LNC001255)". The record is from RNAcentral. Lineage: Eukaryota; Viridiplantae; Streptophyta; Magnoliopsida; Lamiales; Lamiaceae.